Long non-coding RNA from Cyprinodon tularosa, 669 nucleotides. RefSeq lists it as uncharacterized. NCBI's taxonomy places the organism in Eukaryota, Metazoa, Chordata, Actinopteri, Cyprinodontiformes, Cyprinodontidae. The record is from RefSeq and is a predicted model, not a curated record. The transcript has 2 exons.
GAAAAUAUGAUUAUAUUCAUCAACAUUUUCCUGUCGGUGGAAGGGAGCUCGCCUCGAAGGCAUAGAUGAGGUUCUCAUCACUCCUAAUGUCUCAUCACCACGUUGACUGGCAUGCCUGAGGAUAGAAGACAGUGUGACGGACACUGGCAGACCUGCACGUUGACUUCCCAGAGGUAGGGCUGGUUUGAGAGUAUCUUUGGAGGUCAUGACCCUUAGGCACCAAGAGCAGGACAAACAGGACUGAGGUGCUGCAACAACACAUGGAAUGUUCUCUUUGUUUAGGUUUUUCUUCACUUUACUUGCGAAAGAAAAUCAAGUAAACUCUCCCUUCUGCACUUGAAUAAUAAAAAAAUCCUAUUAAAAUAUGUGGAAGAAACGACAUAAGAAACAUUUGUGGGAUGAAAAAUGAUAAAGUCUCUGGGUAUUGUUGUCUUAAAGCUCAAUAUGCAUUGUUCUUUCUCUUUCUAGUGGCUGUUUAACAUAGUGCUGGAAAUGUGAUUUAUUUUUAAGAUCUCACUUGAACAUAUAUUUGUUUUGUCAUCCACAACCACUUUGUCUGCAUUAUCUGUCCGUCCCUCACAAUAUAUUAUCGCCCCUGCGACUGGUUCAAUGUGGAACCGAUUGUUUCUGUAAAGAAAAAGCAUAAUAAAGUGAAUGAUUAAGAGGGUG